AUGGAAACUCAGACAGCCAACUUCACCACCCUGAUGGAGAAGCUCCUGUCCAGAUUCGACGAGGAGAGGGACUUGGCAGACAAGCGAGCAGAGGCGCAGACGGCGUUCAACACUCAGGUCUCCCACGAGUUGCAGAGCUUGUCGAAGCAGAUCGGCCUUACUCAAGCAGAGGUCGAUGACGUGCGUAAGGCUGCGUCCGCGUCCGCGUCGUCAACCCCAUCCACGGGUUCCCAGGUGGACGAUCCAUCGACGGCGGUGCUACACACACCUGCCGUGCGUACGGGGCCUCCACCACCACCACCCGAUCCGCACGCCGCGUCUCCGCCAAGCGCCCUGCCCAUACCGCAGACUAUCGCGGGGUCAGCGCUGCUCGCACGGCUCACAAACGAAGGGCCGCCACUUCUAUCCAAGCCAGAUGACCAGAUCGGGUUGCCGGAGCGGGGGUUUCAGUCAGCACCAGCGCCACGGGAGGAGUACUCCGUCAGGCCACCCAAACAUCAUUUCCCUCGUUUCGAUGGUGCUGCCCCCCGUGUUUGGCUGGAUCGUUGCUUGGCUUACUUCGAGCUCUACCAUGUGCCACAACACAACUGGGUGGCAACAUCAUCACUCUACGUCGAAGGCCAUGCCGCUCUCUAG
This 636-nucleotide ribosomal RNA is filed under the name Triticum aestivum (bread wheat). Its description in RNAcentral is "partial small subunit ribosomal RNA". The record is from RNAcentral. Lineage: Eukaryota; Viridiplantae; Streptophyta; Magnoliopsida; Poales; Poaceae.